This is a long non-coding RNA of Anopheles arabiensis, 694 nucleotides long. RefSeq lists it as uncharacterized. Lineage: Eukaryota; Metazoa; Arthropoda; Insecta; Diptera; Culicidae. The transcript is spliced from 2 exons. The record is from RefSeq and is a predicted model, not a curated record.
UGAACGUGUGUUGGUGAACGAUGGUUAGGUCCUCCCAGCAGCUUCUUUGAUGCACCACUGAUACCAACCCAGGCAAUGGAUCAUGUAAUUAUCCCUCGGCCUCGGUGCAGGUGCCUUCUAAUUAAAGCGACAAGCGUGCGUGAACGCUCCUUCCCCCAUUCAGUUUCUGGGUCACCGCGAUGCCCUUAGCGCAAGCAGACACACUGGACUAGACCGGCGCAAUGCAAUAAAUCGGAUCACUGUUCCAAUUUGCCGUGUACCGUCAACCGGUUUCCCUCCUCUCCCCUUUGGGUGGAAAUCGCUCGUUAUCACGUGAGUUCUCCAGCUCGAUCCCAAGAGCGCGCGCGCUCGGUUUAAGUAGUAGCCGCAGAGAGUUGCCCGCGCGCACGCCCAAAGAACGAUCGAACCGUUUGCUGUAAUCAGGAGGAAAUUAAUUGGUUUUAAAUUAGUCGCGCGUUAUAAAGCUUCUCCUUCUCUGAAGGGCGCACGAUCGAACGAGCUCGAUCGAGGCGCCACAGGGAGUGUGUGUGAAAGUUGCGCUAUUAAAAGAAACAGCUUUGCGCUAUGCAAGUGUUUGGUAUGGUGUGGUGCCUCUUUAACACUUGUUGGCACGAAAAGCUCCCUUUUAGUGGAUGGGGCGGUUGGUCUACUACCUCAAAAAAAUAAACAUUUAUUCUCCCGGUGUGGUCAGCAA